AAAACCAGAGCAUUCUAGAUUACCAUAAUGCCUUCCAUUUUUGCAUACAAUUUUCCAAUGCUGUCCCAGAACGUAACACAUGCACCAAUUAAUCAUUACGGAGUUUCACUGAUUUCAUGGACUCAUCUCCUAGCAUAAACACUUCUAAUGUCGAAAUACAGCUCCCACCCACAUGCCCAUUAAUCUGUAGUCAAUUCCUCUGUAAUACAUUCCUCAUAGAUUCCACUGACGGCAACCAUGAUAAAUUAAACUUUUUAGACCCAAACGACUUUGUCCGAAAGCUGACGGAGUCUCCUGUCAAAGCAUCGCGAUGAGCUCAACCCAAUCGUUCUUCUUGACGCAGUAUUCCUACAUAUUCAAGAAACAUGCUUAUGACAAUUUUGAGAAAAUAUUGUUGAUAGUAGAAAGAUAUACAGAUGCAGGCGAUCAACCUAAUCACAAAAUGUAUGGCUAAAACUUGACAUCACAAAAUUGCAAGAGAGGCUAACCAUGGCUGAAACCUAUUGAUCAGCUUGUUCCUUUGAUCCCAGUCUGAAACAGGGAUCAUUAUAUGAACUUUGCAGCGGUUAUCAUAAUAUGAUAGUACCACUAAG
This 593-nucleotide long non-coding RNA is filed under the name Triticum aestivum (bread wheat). Its description in RNAcentral is "long non-coding RNA (TAES_LNC000478)". Lineage: Eukaryota; Viridiplantae; Streptophyta; Magnoliopsida; Poales; Poaceae. The record is from RNAcentral.